This 458-nucleotide ribosomal RNA is filed under the name uncultured Oceanotoga sp. RNAcentral's name for it is "bacterial SSU rRNA". It matches the Rfam family "Bacterial small subunit ribosomal RNA", at positions 338 to 795 of the family's 1533-position model. The record is from RNAcentral. Lineage: Bacteria; Thermotogati; Thermotogota; Thermotogae; Petrotogales; Petrotogaceae.
CCUACGGGGGGCUGCAGUGGGGAAUUUUGGACAAUGGACGGAAGUCUGAUCCAGCGACGCCGCGUGAAGGAAGAAGUCCUUCGGGAUGUAAACUUCUGAACUUAUCGAAUAAAGACAACUGGGGACAGUUGGAUGAAGGUAGAUAAAGAAAAGCCCCGGCUAACUACGUGCCAGCAGCCGCGGUAAGACGUAGGGGGCGAGCGUUGCCCGGAAUUACUGGGCGUAAAGGGGGCGUAGGCGGUCAAAUAAGUCAGAUGUGAAAUACUACUGCUCAACGGUAGAAAUGCGUUUGAAACUGUAAGACUUGAGGGUACCAAAGGUAGACGGAAUUACCUGAGUAGGGGUGAAAUCCGUAGAUACAGGUAAGAACGCCAGUGGGGAAGCCGGUCUACUGGGGUAACCCUGACGCUGAGGCCCGAAAGCUAGGGGAGCGAACCGGAUUAGAUACCCCAGUAGUC